Molecule: long non-coding RNA, 495 nt
Organism: Rattus norvegicus (Norway rat)
Lineage: Eukaryota; Metazoa; Chordata; Mammalia; Rodentia; Muridae
Source: Ensembl
CAAAAAGAUCACAGGGCUCUUUCCUUGACGCGGGGGACACCGAGGAGUGUAUAAACAGGUAGGCUGGGAAUAGGCAACAUUUCCUUGAAACUAAAGCUCCUCUGGGGCACCGGCUCUAACUCGGAGCAGAGUGCUCCAGCCAGCCAUUAAGGAUCGAUGUUUUAAUGUUCAACAACUGGCAACUCUUCGCGUGCUGCAGCGUCCACCCGGCACCAUCGGCUCCCCAGCCUCGCUUUUCCGCGGGCAGCGGGGGCGAGCGGCCCACGCAGGGGGAACCGGUUUUCUCCCAGUCCCGGUGUCCCGACUCCCGAAGUCAGGUCGGCCAGGCCGACCGCGGAGGAGAAACCAGGACCCGGCGACCCCCGUACAUCCCCGGCCAACCGCGCCGCCCGCGACUUAAGCAACUCAGCGACCCAGGCCGUGCGGGCCGCCAGGAAGCCUUUGCACAACCGGGAGAAUUCAGAAGAAGAAUCUGAAUGCCUAUCACUAGAAAAA